RNAcentral lists this ribosomal RNA (170 nucleotides) under Gramma loreto (royal gramma). Its description in RNAcentral is "partial 12S rRNA". The record is from RNAcentral. Lineage: Eukaryota; Metazoa; Chordata; Actinopteri; Grammatidae.
CACCGCGGUUAUACGAGAGACCCAAGUUGACAGAUAUUCGGCGUAAAGGGUGGUUAAGAUUUUACUUAAACUAAAGUCGAACGCCUUCAAGUCUGUGGUACGUUACUCGAAGGCAAGAAGCCCCACUACGAAAGUGACUUUAUUUAUCUGACCCCACGAAAGCUAGGACA